RNAcentral lists this long non-coding RNA (977 nucleotides) under Drosophila guanche. The record is from RNAcentral. Lineage: Eukaryota; Metazoa; Arthropoda; Insecta; Diptera; Drosophilidae.
CCGCUAACACCGACCGAGCUGCAACCAAAUGACCAAUGAGCCAACCACUACACACACACACACGCACACACACAGCGAGAGAGAGAGAGUGAGAACUUGCAUGUGUCAGGGCAUGCUUGUCGCAGGUAUUACCCAUUAACUUGAAGCGACUGCAGGCAUGCAGGCAACAAAAGCUAAGCUUGGGAUACAAUUUUGAACGGAAAGAUCGCCACUUAUUCGUUUCACUCGUUGCUAUUCCAGCAGCUUACUCGUAGCUCGCUAAUCGCUCUACUCGCCACUGCGCGUUGUCGUUAAUUAGCAGCAGUCGCAGCAGCAGAGUCUCGUUCAUAGAUAGUCAUAGAUGAUCCUGCACUCAGGGUACCUAAUGCGUCCAUAAGUGCAGCUGCAAUGUUGCUCCUGGCUGUUGCUGCUGCUGCUGCUGCUGUCGUUGGGUCAAUGUUGAUGCUGAUAAGUAGCAAAACAUGAGGUCGCCUGUAAUUAUGCGAGUGUUGCAAGUUAAUUGCAAUUGUGUGCAACUGACGGUAGCGAGAUUAAUUAAAUUCAUCCCAGGCAAGCCAGUCCUCCCACUCACACACAGCAACAGCCAUGGACCAUGGACAACAUGCUCCUGCUCUCGUGUGCUGGCUGCCAUCACUCAAUGCCAGGACAAGGCUGUGGGGACAGUCAAUCUGUUUAUUUGCUUAUGCCGCUCCACCAAGCCCUCAACCCUUAACCCUCUGCCAACCCAUUUGCCAUGGCAUUGUCUGCGUCUGUGCGGUGUGCAUUGUUUAAAGUUUACUAAUUUCAUGCAUAUCGCUGGCAAAGCCCUCCCAGAACACACACUCACUCGGCACUCUAACCCCUACUCGCCAUUCCGCCACUCGCCACUCGCCACUCGCCACUCGCCACACGCCACACGCCGCUGUGCAGUAGUGUUAGUUAAGUGAUUUAUUGUCGCAAAAUUGUCAUUAUUAAAAAUUAAUGAUGUCAUAAUUAAG